Non-coding RNA from Ailuropoda melanoleuca (giant panda), 73 nucleotides. NCBI's taxonomy places the organism in Eukaryota, Metazoa, Chordata, Mammalia, Carnivora, Ursidae. The record is from Rfam.
GCCUGGCUGGCUCAGUCAGUAGAGCAUGUGACUCUCGAUCUUGUGGUUGUGAGUUCGAGCCCCAUGUUGGGUG